This 425-nucleotide ribosomal RNA is filed under the name uncultured bacterium. RNAcentral's name for it is "bacterial SSU rRNA". It matches the Rfam family "Bacterial small subunit ribosomal RNA", at positions 357 to 773 of the family's 1533-position model. The record is from RNAcentral.
GGGAAUAUUGGGCAAUGGGCGCAAGCCUGACCCAGCCAUGCCACGUGAGUGAUGAAGGCCUUCGGGUCGUAAAGCUCAGUGGGGAGAGAAGAAUCGCCUUGUGGCUAACAUCCACGAGGUCUGACGGUAUCUCCUUAGCAAGCACCGGCUAACUCUGUGCCAGCAGCCGCGGUAAUACAGAGGGUGCAAACGUUGCUCGGAAUUAUUGGGCGUAAAGCGCACGUAGGCGGUUCGUUAAGUCAGAUGUGAAAGCCCUAGGCUCAACCUAGGAAGUGCAUUUGAAACUGGCGAGCUUGAGUAUGGAAGAGGGUCGCGGAAUUCCCGGUGUAGAGGUGAAAUUCGUAGAUAUCGGGAGGAACACCAGUGGCGAAGGCGGCGACCUGGGCCAAUACUGACGCUGAGGUGCGAAAGCGUGGGGAGCAAAC